AGUUCACCGACAAGCACGUAAAAAAAUUGUUUAUAUACGUUUUCCGGGUGUUUUUUUAAAUAUUUAUUUAUGUGGUACAAAGACAGUCGGUUAACCGGUUAACCGCUCGAAUAUUGAAACAGGUUAACCUGUUACGGAUUUGAUCAGGAAGUUAUAAUCUACCUGAGAGUACAAGUACCUACAUGAGAAUAAGGACCCGUAAUCGUGUAGCCACUAUGGUUUUGCAAUAACAGUAAAAGCCACCAGCAAACUGCAGUUCCUAUUGGACAGUGGUCUAGUGGUAGUAUGCUGGUCUAGGAACCGAAAGGUCCCUGGUUCAAAUCCCGCUCAGACCACAGAAUUUUCCUGAGCAAAAAAUUAAUCCCACGCUUGCUCCUCUCCACCCAGGACCAUAAAUGGGUACCCGUGAGAGAAAAAAGCCAAUGUGCCGUGGCUGCAUACUGCGCCGAAUGUAAACGGACGACUUAUAUCCCAGUGAUCGGGGGUAAAUGUCAGAGUCGAUUGAAGAUGAGUCUAGUAUCAUAAUCAGAUGAUAAACGCAUUUACCAUUUACAAUUCCAAAUUGUGUGCACUAUAUGUGAAAUGGAGAGAAAAAGCAGUAAGUGUCAAGCUUAUCUUGAAAUGUGUGUUGCGUGUAUUUCUUGCUUUGAGUGCGUAUUUUGCUUGUGGAAACCCGAUACAUAAUGAAGCGAUACAAUGCAAACUUGGGGCGCAAAUCACAAUCCCUUUACCUUUGAAGGCAAACAUGGACUACACUGUAAGUGUUGGAGGUACAGAUGUAGGUGCGUGUAACACUUACACAUCAAUGACACCUCAUUGCAUGCUGCAUGACCAAGGAUUCAUCGGUCAAUACAAUUUCAUUGGCAGAGGGACACAUUGGACAUUACUUAUCGAAAAGAUGUCCUGUAAUAAUACAAAUGUUACGAUCCAAGCAACUGACGGAUUCCGAAGCAAUACAAUCAUAAGUAUUCCGAUUAUUUUUAUGAGGUAUAAAUCUCGAAAUGACACAGAUUUCUCUGAUGAACAAACAGAAUCUAGCGGCAAUAAUAGGCUACAUGCUUUUUUUCCAUCCUUCACAGCUAAACGUGUCUUCCUUGUUUCUGUUUUCAUUUUCUUUCUACUUGUAUGUGUGUGUAUUAUAAAAUUCACUUCUCACAUUAGAGACAGACAGACAGACAGACAGAAAGACGGCCGGACGGACGGACGGGCGGUCGGACGGACGGAAAGACGGAUAGACAGAAAGACAGACACACAGACAGGCAGUAAAUAUCAAUUAUGUGUAGUGUGUAAGUUAUUUCAAUAUUAAGUUGUUAUAUUUUCACAUUUGCCAGACUCGACAUUUGAUAACCGGUAAAACCGGAAGGUCUUGCAUAAUUCGAACUUGACCAUUUAUAAUAUACGACAAUUUUUGUUAAAACCCCUUCUGAGAAAUUGCAGGAUGCAGUUACAAUAUAUAAUUAUCUUUUGUUCUGUUCGUGCGGACUUACAAACAGGCGGACUGACGACCAGGAAGAAAUGGACCGAUAUACAUACAGCUGAAUGUCUAUACCAAGUUGCAUCAUACCAUUUUACAUACUGUUCGAUUUAUAACAAUAUUUUAGUUUAGCAGACAAACAGAAAUAUAGAUAGAUGAAUAGAGGACGGUAUAUUGACAGAUAGAGCGCAGAAAACAUAUAGCUUAUAUGUAUAACACGUUUAAUGAUAAUAUAUAAUGCUCUUUUUGAACGGACAUUCAAAUAACGGAUAAAUAAAUGAAUUGAUUGUCAGACAGACAUACAGAAAACCCAAAGCUGAAUGUGUUUGCCAUGCUUCCUUGUUAAAAUUAUCUUGUCAUUUCGUUACACGUGUUUAUAUAAAUCUAAAUCUAUAAAAUUGUUUGUAUGUCUUCUCAAAUUGCUACUCUUGUAUGGUUUUUGUAUUUAUACCUUAGUAUUAUGUUAUACCUGUUUCUUUGUUGCUGUUGUUUUUUAGUACAUAAGCAUUGAUUUCAUUUGUGACACAAAAGCGAUUUUUUAGGUACAAUUUUUCCUAAAUAGAGCACUGUGCUCAAAUUCCACACUUAAACGAAUGAAACCGUGUUUAUAGUUUUUUAUAAAUACACAACUUACAUUGAUAUUGUUUGUUUUAUAAAUACUUGUUAAACAGAAUCCGGCAUUUCAGCAAACGCAAAUGUAUUGUUUUCAUGUUUAUUUUUUAUGUUUACAUAGCUUACAUUGUAUUGUGUUCUAUCAAUACUUGUUUAACAGAAUCCGACAUAUCAGCAAAAUAAAUUGUAUUGUUUACAUUUCCUUUAAAUGAAACAUUAUCUUAAUAUUUAUAUAGAAUUCAUGUAUCACUGACAAAGUAUGCUUUAUUACUAACACUUAAAAAUACAUAUUUACAGAGUCAGCCUUAUUAUGAAUAAACAUGUUAUUUUUUAAAUGAAUUUGUAAAAUCUGAGAAACCAAAUAUUAAUGUCGUAUAUUAAGGGCAAUUUUAAUAUCUUGCACUGUGUGUACACUGUGUGUAUGUUUUAUUCCUCACAUUUCCCGCCAUUUAGAUUUUUUGUUUGUUUUUUCUUUUAUGUUAACCAUGCUGUAUGUUAAGAUAGGUUAGGUUUUGUGAACUUGAGCAUAUUUGAAUAGCUACAUUGUUGUUGUUUACAGUUUUCUUGUAAUACUUGAUUAACUGUGUAGCAUUAGCCGGUAUGAAUAAGUAAAAUAUUAUCUCAUACUAAGAGGCUUAAAUGACAUCCAGAAGAGAUAAGAUAUUUU
Dreissena polymorpha is the source of this 2753-nucleotide long non-coding RNA. RefSeq lists it as uncharacterized. NCBI's taxonomy places the organism in Eukaryota, Metazoa, Mollusca, Bivalvia, Myida, Dreissenidae. The transcript is spliced from 2 exons. The record is from RefSeq and is a predicted model, not a curated record.